This is a long non-coding RNA of Perca fluviatilis (European perch), 732 nucleotides long. RefSeq lists it as uncharacterized. NCBI's taxonomy places the organism in Eukaryota, Metazoa, Chordata, Actinopteri, Perciformes, Percidae. The transcript is spliced from 2 exons. The record is from RefSeq and is a predicted model, not a curated record.
CGGGCUGCAAGGAGAAGGUCAGUGAUUGGCUGAAGGGAGAACACCCUGACAGUGGUCAGCAUGGACGUAGGGCCUCAUGUUGAUCGAGGGGCUGCAGCUCGUCCUCGUCGUGCAGCUGUACGGCGCCGUCGGCAGGAAGACGGCAGCCAGGAAACGAGCCGUGGCCGAUGAGCUGGACUACGGAGAGACGAACUACGCCUACAGCGAUCCUCAGGAUGGUUACACAGACCCCGCCCACCCUGCACAUCACCAUGACUACCCGAACUAGGAGUAAACAUACCUGGAGAGGACCAAUCAACGGGCUUCUUAAAGAAUCAAUAAAGUCAUAAAAUAUGUUGUGUAGAAGUUAAAUGUUAGAGAGAUCUCCCAAUUCAGGGGCACACACACACACACGGAUGGGGGGUAGCUAGAUAUCUGCGGGGCUAACGCUGGUACUGGCCCGUCCUGCUCAAAGAGCUAAAAUACAAGGAACUACUUCUGGCUCUAUAUUUCGGUUGCUGUAGUUAACGAUUUAAUCACUACUGAGCUACAGCUGUCACGGUUGCUAGGUGACAGGAGUGGCGCUUUGACGCCAACAGGAAAUGCUCUGCAGAUCUGACCAUCUCAUUUCGGAGACCGCUCGGUUCAGCCUCCGUGGGAUGUGAAGGCUGCGGCCCCUGACAUGGGACACUUCUUCAGCGUAUUCCCCCUGAACAUACUUCCUGUUUAAAUAAAGUUUCAUGUUUCUAAUUA